This 253-nucleotide ribosomal RNA is filed under the name uncultured bacterium. RNAcentral describes it as "partial 16S ribosomal RNA". It matches the Rfam family "Bacterial small subunit ribosomal RNA", at positions 524 to 776 of the family's 1533-position model. The record is from RNAcentral.
UACGAAGGGGGCUAGCGUUGCUCGGAAUCACUGGGCGUAAAGCGCACGUAGGCCGAUUGUUAAGUCAGGGGUGAAAUCCUGGAGCUCAACUCCAGAACUGCCCUUGAUACUGACGGUCUCGAGUCCGGGAGAGGUGAGUGGAACUGCGAGUGUAGAGGUGAAAUGCGUAGAUAUUGGGAGGAACACCAGUGGCGAAGGCGGCUCACUGGACCGGUACUGACGCUGAUGCGCGAAAGCGUGGGGAGCAAACGGG